Molecule: long non-coding RNA, 1227 nt
Organism: Drosophila mojavensis
Lineage: Eukaryota; Metazoa; Arthropoda; Insecta; Diptera; Drosophilidae
Exons: 3
Source: RefSeq, a predicted model, not a curated record
ACAACUGAAGAACUAAUACUGCAGUGUGGUAUACAGGCAGAUUUACUUGAACUUACAGACGUACAAACUGUUAAAUGGUCAAGUUCUAGCUACGCUAGCGUCUUUGCACUUCCUGAUCGGGAAUAUAUACACUUUGUGGGAUCUGUCACGCCUCCUUCUGCCUGGUAUACACAUUCUCAGCAAGACCAUUCAAUGGACUCAAAGCCGGAUUUCAGGAAAACUAGAAACCUCGCUAUGGUCUGCGAAGUGUAUAAAACUAAGACGGCGCAGCCCACACUAUUGACACCUAUGGCCCAUUACCAUCUCGCCGGCAUUAUAUCUGGCAUGCACACACUUUGUAUUCGUAAGUGUUUUGGCCAUAAAUUUAACCAUAUACUACUUCAAUGUUGCUGUCGUGGCCGUGGCUCAACUUUUGUUACAUGCAUAAAUCAAAAUGUUGAUUUAUAAUAAUUGCAAAAAAAAAAAACAUACACACACACAAGCACGGAGUGAGAACACAGUCACAGAAUGCUUUGAAUUGUCGGCCACAUGUCAACCGAGUCACAAAAAAUACAACAGCAAAAAUAAAACAUUUGGACUCGGGUGCAAAAGGUCUUGCAGCUAUGGGCCAGACUUAUUUUAGACUAUGGAGGCAACAACAAUCUAACAAACGAAUCACAACUAACCAAAACACAGGGCCAAAUGAAUUUGUGGCGCCAAAGGGGAAACAAAAUAAAUACAGGAUAAGAAUACGUGAAAAGCAGGCGCAACAAAUCGAUUUACGACUAGAGAAAAAACAAUGAACAAAAGAAAGAAAGAGAGCAAGGGAGAGAUUGGAAAGAAACCAUGUUUGGCUAGUUCCAGGAAACAUCAAUGACUUUACUAAAAAUGGAUGAUCCAAGCGUAAAAUCCUCGCUACAACUAUUGGAACAUACUUUCAAAGGAAUCCUCGUUGAAUUGAGCUAAAUGGGUAAUACUACAUCUGAUAUAAUAGAAAUACUAUUACUUAAAAUGCUUCAAGACUUGAAAUUUGAAAUAUAGAUAUGCUCGCUUUGACACCCUUAGCUCAGAAGGAUAUAGUUCAUAUAUUUAAGCCGAUUGUAGAGCUGACGGAUCGGAAAAAAACUUUAUUCAAUACAGUUUUAGACAAAGAAACUCAAAAUUUCACGACUACUAUUAGUUCAAUAUUAGUUUACCAAUAAAAUAUAUACACAUAUGUCGCUAGUGGGUGUGGAAAUAAAAAAUUAA